RNAcentral lists this ribosomal RNA (492 nucleotides) under uncultured bacterium. Its description in RNAcentral is "partial 16S ribosomal RNA". It matches the Rfam family "Bacterial small subunit ribosomal RNA", at positions 29 to 507 of the family's 1533-position model. The record is from RNAcentral.
AGUGAACGCUGGCGGUAGGCCUAACACAUGCAAGUCGAACGGCAGCACAGUAAGAGCUUGCUCUUACGGGUGGCGAGUGGCGGGCGGGUGAGGAAUACAUCGGAAUCUACUUUUUCGUGGGGGAUAACGUAGGGAAACUUACGCUAAUACCGCAUACGACCUACGGGUGAAAGCAGGGGAUCUUCGGACCUUGCGCGAUUGAAUGAGCCGAUGUCGGAUUAGCUAGUUGGCGGGGUAAAGGCCCACCAAGGCGACGAUCCGUAGCUGGUCUGAGAGGAUGAUCAGCCACACUGGAACUGAGACACGGUCCAGACUCCUACGGGAGGCAGCAGUGUGGAAUAUUGGACAAUGGGCGCAAGCCUGAUCCAGCCAUACCGCGUGGGUGAAGAAGGCCUUCGGGUUGUAAAGCCCUUUUGUUGGGAAAGAAAAGCAGCAGGUUAAUACCCCGCUGUUCUGACGGUACCCAAAGAAUAAGCACCGGCUAACUUCGUG